GGGGCAAUCCGACCAAGUAAGAGAUGAACAUUACCAACCGGACAAGAUAGCAUUCGGGCGCGUUGGCAAUAAGGACUUAUUGAGCAAGGAGCAAUAACAACUCAAACAUUGAAAGAUCAUUUUGCAUUCAUGCAUAUACAUUUAGCCAGGGUAUUUUGAUUCAUUUUUAUCAUAAUCACUAGGCAUAAAUAGGUUCAUAGAGGUCAUGUUCCCCAAAGAACAGAUCAAUGAAGAUGGCAGGUCUUGCUUUCCUGAGUUGACAGAAGCAGAUCGAAGUAACCAU
RNAcentral lists this long non-coding RNA (283 nucleotides) under Gossypium raimondii (Peruvian cotton). Its description in RNAcentral is "long non-coding RNA (GRAI_LNC011153)". The record is from RNAcentral. Lineage: Eukaryota; Viridiplantae; Streptophyta; Magnoliopsida; Malvales; Malvaceae.